AACGAACGCUGGCGGCAGGCUUAACACAUGCAAGUCGAGCGCGUAGCAAUACGAGCGGCAGACGGGUGAGUAACGCGUGGGGAUCUGCCUAGUGGUACGGAACAACUCAGGGAAACUUGAGCUAAUACCGUAUAAGUCCUUCGGGAGAAAGAUUUAUCGCCAUUAGAUGAACCCGCGUCUGAUUAGCUAGUUGGUGAGGUAACGGCUCACCAAGGCGACGAUCAGUAGCUGGUCUGAGAGGAUGAUCAGCCACACUGGGACUGAGACACGGCCCAGACUCCUACGGGAGGCAGCAGUGGGGAAUAUUGGACAAUGGGCGCAAGCCUGAUCCAGCCAUGCCGCGUGAGUGAUGAAGGCCUUAGGGUUGUAAAGCUCUUUCGUCAGGGAAGAUAAUGACGGUACCUGAAGAAGAAGCCCCGGCUAACUUCGUGCCAGCAGCCGCGGUAAUAC
RNAcentral lists this ribosomal RNA (450 nucleotides) under uncultured bacterium. RNAcentral describes it as "bacterial SSU rRNA". It matches the Rfam family "Bacterial small subunit ribosomal RNA", at positions 29 to 526 of the family's 1533-position model. The record is from RNAcentral.